CCUACGGGUGGCAGCAGUGAGGAAUAUUGGUCAAUGGCCGAGAGUCUGAACCAGCCAAGUAGCGUGAAGGAUGACUGCCCUAUGGGUUGUAAACUUCUUUUAUAUGGGAAUAAAGCGUUCCACGUGUGGGAUUUUGUAUGUACCUUAUGAAUAAGGAUCGGCUAACUCCGUGCCAGCAGCCGCGGUAAUACGGAGGAUCCGAGCGUUAUCCGGAUUUAUUGGGUUUAAAGGGCGUGCAGCCGGGAAGACAAGUCAGAUGUGAAAUCCGGCGGCUCAACCGCGUACCUGCAUUUGAAACUGUUGUUCUUGAGUGCGGGAGAGGUAUGCGGAAUGCGUGGUGUAGCGGUGAAAUGCGUAGAUAUAACGAAGAACACCGGUGGCGAAGGCAGAUGACUGGAGCGCAACUGACGCUGAGGCGCGAAAGCGUGGGGAUCGAACAGGAUUAGAUACCCGGGUAGUC
RNAcentral lists this ribosomal RNA (460 nucleotides) under uncultured bacterium. RNAcentral's name for it is "partial 16S ribosomal RNA". It matches the Rfam family "Bacterial small subunit ribosomal RNA", at positions 338 to 795 of the family's 1533-position model. The record is from RNAcentral.